GAUAAAACACCUAAAUCUUACUUAAAUUUGUUAGGUCAAUUUGUAUACCACUAUUAAAUUAAUUAAUAAUUUUAAUUUAUAAAAUUUAUAUAAAUUUAAAAAAAAUUAAGUCAAGGUGCAGUAAAAAUUUAAGAAUGAAGUGAAUUACAAUUCUCUUAAGAGAUUAUUUAAAUUAAAAUUUUAAUUUAGGAUUUGAAAGUAAAAUUAAAAUAGAAUGUUAAUUUGAAUAAAGCUCUAAAAUAUGKACAUAUCGCCCGUCA
Molecule: ribosomal RNA, 260 nt
Filed under: Rhipicephalus annulatus
Lineage: Eukaryota; Metazoa; Arthropoda; Arachnida; Ixodida; Ixodidae
Description: partial small subunit ribosomal RNA
Source: RNAcentral